Molecule: small nuclear RNA, 24 nt
Filed under: Arabidopsis thaliana (thale cress)
Lineage: Eukaryota; Viridiplantae; Streptophyta; Magnoliopsida; Brassicales; Brassicaceae
Description: snRNA_11830
Source: RNAcentral
AGCUGCCGCGCCCAUAGGCGACAA